Molecule: ribosomal RNA, 423 nt
Filed under: Verrucomicrobiota bacterium
Lineage: Bacteria; Pseudomonadati; Verrucomicrobiota
Description: Verrucomicrobia bacterium partial 16S ribosomal RNA
Rfam family: Bacterial small subunit ribosomal RNA
Source: RNAcentral
UGAGGAAUAUUGGUCAAUGGGCGAGAGCCUGAACCAGCCAAGUAGCGUGCAGGAUGACGGCCCUAUGGGUUGUAAACUGCUUUUAUAUGGGAAUAAAGUGAGGGACGUGUCCCUUAUUGCAUGUACCAUAUGAAUAAGGACCGGCUAAUUCCGUGCCAGCAGCCGCGGUAAUACGGAAGGUCCAGGCGUUAUCCGGAUUUAUUGGGUUUAAAGGGAGCGUAGGCUGUUUGUUAAGCGUGUUGUGAAUGUAAGAGCUCAACUUUUAGAUUGCAGCGCGAACUGGCAGACUUGAGUGCGCACAACGUAGGCGGAAUUCAUGGUGUAGCGGUGAAAUGCUUAGAUAUCAUGACGAACUCCGAUUGCGAAGGCAGCUUACGGGAGCGCAACUGACGCUAAAGCUCGAAGGUGCGGGUAUCGAACAGG